RNAcentral lists this ribosomal RNA (253 nucleotides) under uncultured bacterium. Its description in RNAcentral is "partial 16S ribosomal RNA". It matches the Rfam family "Bacterial small subunit ribosomal RNA", at positions 524 to 776 of the family's 1533-position model. The record is from RNAcentral.
GACGGAAGGUGCAAGCGUUGCUCGGAAUCACUGGGCGUAAAGGGUGCGUAGGCGGCCGUGCAAGUCUGGCGUGAAAGCCCCGGGCUCAGCCCGGGAAGUGCGCUCGAAACUGCACGGCUCGAGUGCCGGAGGGGAGAGUGGAAUUCCUGGUGUAGCGGUGAAAUGCGUAGAUAUCUGGAGGAACACCGGUGGCGAAGGCGGCAUCCUGGACCAAUACUGACGCUGAGGAGCGAAAGCCAGGGGAGCAAACGGG